GGAGACAUUGCUGGGACUGGCAGCAGAGGAGAUUUACAGGUCACAGGACCACAUCCACCAGGAUGGAGGACAACUUGGGUCACCUGACCGAGAAGAUACUGAACCUGACCCUGGAGAUCAUCUACCUGCUGACCGGAGAGAUGGAUCCAGUAAGAGGAACCCACCAGAGAGAU
Molecule: long non-coding RNA, 173 nt
Organism: Nanorana parkeri
Lineage: Eukaryota; Metazoa; Chordata; Amphibia; Anura; Dicroglossidae
Exons: 3
Source: RefSeq, a predicted model, not a curated record